GUGCCAGCAGCCGCGGUAAUACGUAGGGUGCAAGCGUUAAUCGGAAUUACUGGGCGUAAAGCGUGCGCAGGCGGUUUUGUAAGUCUGUCGUGAAAGCCCCGGGCUCAACCUGGGAAUUGCGAUGGAGACUGCAAGGCUUGAAUCUGGCAGAGGGGGGUAGAAUUCCACGUGUAGCAGUGAAAUGCGUAGAGAUGUGGAGGAACACCGAUGGCGAAGGCAGCCCCCUGGGUCAAGAUUGACGCUCAUGCACGAAAGCGUGGGGAGCAAACAGGAUUAGAUA
Molecule: ribosomal RNA, 280 nt
Filed under: uncultured Burkholderiales bacterium
Lineage: Bacteria; Pseudomonadati; Pseudomonadota; Betaproteobacteria; Burkholderiales
Description: partial 16S ribosomal RNA
Rfam family: Bacterial small subunit ribosomal RNA
Source: RNAcentral